Molecule: long non-coding RNA, 1134 nt
Organism: Mus musculus (house mouse)
Lineage: Eukaryota; Metazoa; Chordata; Mammalia; Rodentia; Muridae
Product: predicted gene, 40804
Exons: 3
Source: RefSeq, a predicted model, not a curated record
UGUCUAAAUCCAUCUGGCUCAAACAAAUCUGAAAAUGAGUCAGGGAUGGUAGAGCAGGCCUGUAAUCCAGAGUUUAGGCAGGAGCUUCCUCAGUUACAUCGUUACAUAGUUACUCAGUUACAUAGUUACUGAGGCCAGGGCUACAGAAAACAAACCAAUAAAGAGCCAUUGUUUCUAGAAGGCCACACCAAAUCCCAUAGAUGGGGGAGGUGAGGAAGGGGAGGAAAGGAGGAACAAGUAAGUGAGCGGUCAAGCUGAACCCUCUUGGCCAUUAUUAAUAUGCAGCACAUGCCUGCUAGCUUUCUGGUCAGUACUGACUCCCCCUCAGCCUUAGCUCAGACUGAUUCUUCCAAGAGUCCUUUGAUUCCCCAGUCUAGACUACCUGUCCCUGCUGUGCACCAGCCCUUGUAACAGCCUGUUCACUUUGUUCCAUGGUACUUACCACUGCUCAUUCUACCACGCCCUUCCCUGGUAUCGGAUGUUUCUCCAGUGCGAGAGUUAUGGCAUGUUCAGCACAGGCCCCCAGGCCCAGGCAGGCUGCUGACUUCUGUCAGAUGUUGCUAUGGGUUCUCCUGCGGUGAUAAACCACCAUGACCAAAAGCAACCUGAGAAGGAGAGGGUUUAUUUCAGCUUACACUUUCAGUAACCAUAAAUCAGUGCAUCAUUCGACCCUUGGCUUCCUUCCGGAGAGGACAAUUCACAGAAACUCACAGCUGGUCAACAUACAGAGAAACGAUAUGGAAACGCUCAGCCCUCCAAGGCUCAGGGAUCUACGAGGAAGAGAAGGCAGAAAGAUUUAAGAGCCAGAGUUGUAGAGGACUUCAGAGAAACUUUUCCAGACACAGCAGGGUAGGUGCACAAUGAACUAACAGAGCUUGUGAGAGUGCACACAAGGCUGGCACAAGCUCAAGUCAGACUAAAUCCAGCGUGGGGGAGGGAAAGUGGGCAUGGCUCGCUGAGGAACUGUUGGCCUCUGAUCACUGCUGGGACAGUCAGUUUUCUUCAAGGAGUGACAUCUGGUUGAUGGACCAGUCCUAUCCCUUGAGUAGUCUGCUAACACAAGCUGAAUUCCCGUUUUGUUCUAAGAUAGAGAAAGCAUAUGAAGUUGGGUAGGGAGAUGGAGAAGGGUGAUCU